RNAcentral lists this ribosomal RNA (440 nucleotides) under uncultured bacterium. RNAcentral describes it as "partial 16S ribosomal RNA". It matches the Rfam family "Bacterial small subunit ribosomal RNA", at positions 338 to 795 of the family's 1533-position model. The record is from RNAcentral.
CCUACGGGCGGCAGCAGUGGGGAAUAUUGCACAAUGGGGGAAACCCUGAUGCAGCGACGCCGCGUGAGUGAAGAAGUAAUUCGUUAUGUAAAGCCCUAUCAGCAGGGAAGAAAAUGACGGUACCUGAGUAAGAAGCCCCGUCUAACUACGUGCCAGCAGCCGUGGCAAUACGUAGGGGGCAGGCGUUAUCCGGAUUUACCGGGGGUAAAGGGAGCGUAGUCGGCAGUGCAAGUCCGGAGUCAAAGGCGGGGGGUCAACCCCCGGACCGCUCUGGAAACUGGACGGCUGGAGUGCAGGAGAGGUAAGUGGAAUUCCUGGUGUAGCGGUGAAAUGCGUAGAUAUUAGGAAGAACACCAGUGGCGAAGGCAGCUUACUGGACUGUAACUGACGUUGAGGCUCGAAAGCGUGGGGAGCGAACAGGAUUAGAUACCCUUGUAGUC